RNAcentral lists this ribosomal RNA (250 nucleotides) under uncultured bacterium. RNAcentral describes it as "partial 16S ribosomal RNA". It matches the Rfam family "Bacterial small subunit ribosomal RNA", at positions 525 to 775 of the family's 1533-position model. The record is from RNAcentral.
ACGGGGGGACUAGCGUUGUUCGGAAUUACUGGGCGUAAAGCGCACGUAGGCGGAUUUGUAAGUCAGGGGUGAAAUCCCGAGGCUCAACCUCGGAACUGCCUUUGAUACUGCGAAUCUCGAGUCCGGAAGAGGUGAGUGGAAUUCCUAGUGUAGAGGUGAAAUUCGUAGAUAUUAGGAAGAACACCGGUGGCGAAGGCGGCUCACUGGUCCGGUACUGACGCUGAGGUGCGAAAGCGUGGGGAGCAAACAG